UCCGGUUUGUCACCGGCAGUCUCAUUAGAGUGCCCAACUGAAUGUAGCAACUAAUGACAAGGGUUGCGCUCGUUGCGGGACUUAACCCAACAUCUCACGACACGAGCUGACGACAGCCAUGCAGCACCUGUGUUCCCGUUCCCUUUCGGGCACAGCCGGGUUUCCCCAGCCUCCAGGACAAGUCAAGGGUAGGUAAGGUGGGGAUGACGUAACACAGACUAUAC
This 224-nucleotide unclassified non-coding RNA is filed under the name uncultured Gammaproteobacteria bacterium. RNAcentral's name for it is "contains 16S-23S intergenic spacer region". Lineage: Bacteria; Pseudomonadati; Pseudomonadota; Gammaproteobacteria. The record is from RNAcentral.